GGUUGGUGAGACGGCUCAGUGGUUAAGAGCACUGACUACUCUUCCAAAGGUCCUGAGUUCAAAUCCCAGCAACCA
RNAcentral lists this transfer RNA (75 nucleotides) under Mus musculus (house mouse). RNAcentral's name for it is "tRNA-Ser". The record is from RNAcentral. Lineage: Eukaryota; Metazoa; Chordata; Mammalia; Rodentia; Muridae.